UACGUAGGGUGCAAGCGUUAAUCGGAAUUACUGGGCGUAAAGCGUGCGCAGGCGGUUGUGCAAGACAGAUGUGAAAUCCCCGGGCUCAACCUGGGAAUUGCAUUUGUGACUGCACGGCUAGAGUGUGUCAGAGGGGGGUAGAAUUCCACGUGUAGCAGUGAAAUGCGUAGAUAUGUGGAGGAACACCGAUGGCGAAGGCAGCCCCCUGGGAUGUGACUGACGCUCAUGUACGAAAGCGUGGGGAGCAAACAGG
RNAcentral lists this ribosomal RNA (253 nucleotides) under uncultured bacterium. Its description in RNAcentral is "partial 16S ribosomal RNA". It matches the Rfam family "Bacterial small subunit ribosomal RNA", at positions 524 to 776 of the family's 1533-position model. The record is from RNAcentral.